GACGAACGCUGGCGGCGUGCUUAACACAUGCAAGUCGUACGGUAAGGCCCUUUCGGGGGUACACGAGUGGCGAACGGGUGAGUAACACGUGAGUAACCUGCCCACAACUUUGGGAUAACGCUAGGAAACUGGUGCUAAUACUGGAUAUGUGCUCCUGCUGCAUGGUGGGGGUUGGAAAGCUCCGGCGGUUGUGGAUGGACUCGCGGCCUAUCAGCUUGUUGGUGGGGUAGUGGCCUACCAAGGCGGCGACGGGUAGCCGGCCUGAGAGGGUGACCGGCCACAGUGGGACUGAGAUACGGCCCAGACUCCUACGGGAGGCAGCAGGGGGGAAUAUUGCACAAUGGGCGCAAGCCUGAUGCAGCAACGCCGCGGGCGGGAUAACGGCCUUCGGGUUGUAAACCGCUUUCAGCAGGGACGAAGCUUUUUGUGACGGUACCUGCAGAAGAAGCACCGGCUAACUACGUG
Molecule: ribosomal RNA, 465 nt
Filed under: uncultured bacterium
Lineage: Bacteria
Description: partial 16S ribosomal RNA
Rfam family: Bacterial small subunit ribosomal RNA
Source: RNAcentral